This 74-nucleotide transfer RNA is filed under the name Nocardia pulmonis. Its description in RNAcentral is "tRNA-OTHER". Lineage: Bacteria; Bacillati; Actinomycetota; Actinomycetes; Mycobacteriales; Nocardiaceae. The record is from RNAcentral. RNAcentral also lists the same sequence under 1 other name.
GGUCCUAUUUCGGCUGAUUGACUCACAAUCUCAAGAUACCCCUGUCGCUGGUUCGAACCCAGCUGGGACCACCA